This 1189-nucleotide long non-coding RNA is filed under the name Crocodylus porosus (Australian saltwater crocodile). Its description in RNAcentral is "lncRNA (ENSCPRG00005000044.1)". The record is from RNAcentral. Lineage: Eukaryota; Metazoa; Chordata; Crocodylia; Crocodylidae.
AUGGUUGCGGGUAGGAGCAAACAGCAAAACCCUGAAGGUAUUUGUUUAAAUACAACUAUGCUAUGCUUCUCCAAGUCAGUGGGGGCUAACCUCUUCUGGCAGGCAUGUCACAAAUUAAGCCCUGUAUCCUCCCCAAAUGCCACUCUAAUCCCCUUUCCCUGCCUGAUUUGCUGCUGUUUUCUGCUUCCUGCCCAGCCCCUUGUCCAGUCUGCUGUUCUUCUUUUUGCUCCAUGCUUUAUGCUGCCUGUCCAGUCAUCAGAAACAAAAAAGUAUCUGUCUCUGAAUCAGGGUAAUUUAGGUCUGCAUGCAGGUUGAGAUACUACAUGAACAGUUGGAUUUGGAUGACUUCUCCUCCCAGCAGAUGUCAGGGUAAUUUAGGUCCCCCAGGUCACUUCAAGCUAUUUAAUCAAGCAGGUUUUUGUUGUCACCUGGGCUAUGGCACCACACUUAGAAGUUGUGUGCUAUUGGACCAGGGCAGGUCCUGCCUCCAUGGAGCUAGCUUAGCUCAUUGAUAUGUGGGGCACUUGGAGGCAGGACUCAGCUUCUGCUUGUGGUGCUGGGAGUCCGGAGUGGCAGCAAGAGCCAGCUUAGUUCUGUGUGAACACAUGUGCCAGCAGGCCGGACUGGCACUGUGCACUAUGUGCAGCCCCUGGAUCUCAGGCUGCGCUGCCAGUGGUCUCUGCCAGGAGCCGGCUAUAGGCUCCCAACAAGUGCUUCUGCCCUGUCCCUGAGCCCCAGUUGUGGACUUCCCAGGAAUAGCAUGGGGAUCACUGGGGCCUGAGCAUAGGCGCAGAACAACAGAGCCAUAAAGCAGUGGGUGGGACAGCUAAAGUUGGACUCAUCCUGAUGCUGAGACAGAGGUGCUGCUGGGAGGGAGCUAGUGGGGACAGGCAGGGGCUCCGGAUCUGGAGUCAGGGGCACUGAUGAGGCUGUGGGUUGGGAGUGAGGGGCAAGGGCAGGAACAGGGGACUGGUAUAUCAGUGCUGCUCAGCACCCAACAUCCUGGUGAGUGAAGGAGGCAGGAGAAGCUCUGAUUUUUCUAUGAUAAAAACCAAAAGCAAAUGCCAAAGUGUGUAGAUAUUUAGAAUUCAUGUCAUUCUGAUGAUAGAGACACUGGUAGGCUUCCAAAUGGCUUGAAAAAUGUAACUAUAUCAAUAAAACAUUUCCCAACUGAUCUCCUUUAAUAUAG